Molecule: unclassified non-coding RNA, 330 nt
Filed under: soil metagenome
Description: partial contains 5.8S ribosomal RNA, internal transcribed spacer 2, and large subunit ribosomal RNA
Rfam family: 5.8S ribosomal RNA (bases 1-120)
Source: RNAcentral
GAUGAAGAACGCAGCGAAAUGCGAUAAGUAAUGUGAAUUGCAGAAUUCAGUGAAUCAUCGAAUCUUUGAACGCGCAUUGCGCCCCCUGGUAUUCCGGGGGGCAUGCCUGUUCGAGCGUCAUUUCACCACUCAAGCCUCGCUUGGUAUUGGGCAACGCGGUCCGCCGCGUGCCUCAAAUCGACCGGCUGGGUCUUCUGUCCCCUAAGCGUUGUGGAAACUUUCGCUAAAGGGUGUUCGGGAGGCUACGCCGUAAAACAACCCCAUUUCUAAGGUUGACCUCGGAUCAGGUAGGGAUACCCGCUGAACUUAAGCAUAUCAAUAAGCGGAGGA